GACGAACGCUGGCGGCGUGCUUAACACAUGCAAGUCGAACGGAAAGGCCCUGCUUUUGUGGGGUGCUCGAGUGGCGAACGGGUGAGUAACACGUGAGUAACCUGCCCUUGACUUUGGGAUAACUUCAGGAAACUGGGGCUAAUACCGGAUAGGAGCUCCUGCUGCAUGGUGGGGGUUGGAAAGUUUCGGCGGUUGGGGAUGGACUCGCGGCUUAUCAGCUUGUUGGUGGGGUAGUGGCUUACCAAGGCUUUGACGGGUAGCCGGCCUGAGAGGGUGACCGGCCACAUUGGGACUGAGAUACGGCCCAGACUCCUACGGGAGGCAGAGGUGGGGAAUAUUGCCCAAUGGGCGGAAGCCUGAUGCAGCACCGCCGCGUGCGGGAUGACGGCCUUCGGGUUGUAAACCGCUUUCGCCUGUGACGAAGCGUGAGUGACGGUAAUGGGUAAAGAAGCACCGGCUAACUACGU
RNAcentral lists this ribosomal RNA (467 nucleotides) under uncultured bacterium. Its description in RNAcentral is "partial 16S ribosomal RNA". It matches the Rfam family "Bacterial small subunit ribosomal RNA", at positions 28 to 506 of the family's 1533-position model. The record is from RNAcentral.